Molecule: small nucleolar RNA, 72 nt
Filed under: Mustela putorius furo (domestic ferret)
Lineage: Eukaryota; Metazoa; Chordata; Mammalia; Carnivora; Mustelidae
Description: Small nucleolar RNA SNORD112 (ENSMPUG00000021368.1)
Source: RNAcentral
UGGGCUAAUGAUGGGAAUAGGUCAUGAACCAGGGGUUGUGAUGAACCAGAUUCUGUCCAUCUGAGGUCCUAG